Molecule: small nucleolar RNA, 166 nt
Filed under: Caenorhabditis elegans
Lineage: Eukaryota; Metazoa; Nematoda; Chromadorea; Rhabditida; Rhabditidae
Description: partial CeN26-2
Rfam family: Small nucleolar RNA U3
About the family: Small nucleolar RNAs (snoRNAs) are involved in the processing and modification of rRNA in the nucleolus.
Source: RNAcentral
UCAUUUCUGCAGUAUGUAUCUCGUAAUUCCCAUCAAAUUGGUAGAGAUGCCAUCCGCGAUGAGUGGGAGACGGGCGAGCCGCGAGCGUGAAACAGUUCUUCGGAACUUGAUGACCGCACGGAGCCGAUGAAUUUUGGAGCCGUAGUGGCUUGCUCUUCUGAGCGGA